This 85-nucleotide transfer RNA is filed under the name Spirochaetota bacterium. Its description in RNAcentral is "tRNA-Ser". It matches the Rfam family "tRNA". Rfam says of the family: Transfer RNA (tRNA) molecules are approximately 80 nucleotides in length. Their secondary structure includes four short double-helical elements and three loops (D, anti-codon, and T loops). The record is from RNAcentral. Lineage: Bacteria; Pseudomonadati; Spirochaetota.
GGAGAGAUGCGAGAGUGGUUGAAUCGGCCGGUCUCGAAAACCGUGAGCCCGAAAGGGCACGGGGGUUCGAAUCCCCCUCUCUCCG